Molecule: ribosomal RNA, 460 nt
Filed under: uncultured bacterium
Lineage: Bacteria
Description: partial 16S ribosomal RNA
Rfam family: Bacterial small subunit ribosomal RNA
Source: RNAcentral
CCUACGGGUGGCAGCAGUGAGGAAUAUUGGUCAAUGGACGAGAGUCUGAACCAGCCAAGUAGCGUGAAGGAUGACUGCCCUAUGGGUUGUAAACUUCUUUUAUAUGGGAAUAAAAUGUUCCACGUGUGGGAUUUUGUAUGUACCAUAUGAAUAAGGAUCGGCUAACUCCGUGCCAGCAGCAGCGGUAAUACGGAGGAUCCGAGCGUUAUCCGGAUUUAUUGGGUUUAAAGGGAGCGUAGGUGGAUUGUUAAGUCAGGUGUGAAAGUUUGCGGCUCAACCGUAAAAUUGCAGUUGAAACUGGCAGUCUUGAGUACAGUAGAGGUGGGCGGAAUUCGUGGUGUAGCGGUGAAAUGCUUAGAUAUCACGAAGAACUCCGAUGGCGAAGGCAGUUCACUGGACUGCAACUGACACUGAGGCUCGAAAGUGUGGGUAUCAAACAGGAUUAGAUACCCUAGUAGUC